Molecule: ribosomal RNA, 253 nt
Filed under: uncultured bacterium
Lineage: Bacteria
Description: partial 16S ribosomal RNA
Rfam family: Bacterial small subunit ribosomal RNA
Source: RNAcentral
GACAGAGGGUGCAAACGUUGUUCGGAAUUACUGGGCGUAAAGCGAGUGUAGGCGGUCUGCUAAGUCGGAUGUGAAAGCCCCGGGCUCAACCCGGGAAGUGCAUUCGAAACUGGCAGGCUAGAGUAUCGGAGAGGUUGGUGGAAUUCUCGGUGUAGAGGUGAAAUUCGUAGAUAUCGGGAAGAACACCGGUGGCGAAGGCGGCCAACUGGACGAAUACUGACGCUGAGACUCGAAAGCGUGGGGAGCAAACAGG